Molecule: long non-coding RNA, 2354 nt
Filed under: Homo sapiens (human)
Lineage: Eukaryota; Metazoa; Chordata; Mammalia; Primates; Hominidae
Description: HSALNT0322321
Source: RNAcentral
UUUUGGAAUCUCCUCUGGAAUCCUCGCUGUUUGCACCACCUACUGUGAGAUUGCACUACCAGCAAUCUCAUCUUACGCUGCCAAGUGCUCAAUGAAUGAUGGUCUGUAGUGUGCUGUCAGAUCCUCCAGUGUUCUACUCACCACAUUGGAUUUUCUUUUAAUGCUUUUGGAUUGAAACUAAAAAUCCUGAUGAGUUCAAUAGUACCCUAGUUAAGCAGUAAUGCAAGCUGAAGAAAAUUCUUCCACUGUUAGGCUGGGCACGGUGGCUCACACCUAUAAUCCCAGCACUUUGGGAGGCCAAGGCGGGUGGAUCACCUGAGGUUAGGAGUUCGAGACCAGCUUGGCCAACGUGGUGGAACCCCGUCUCUGCUGAAAAUACAAAAAUUAGCCAGGCAUGAUGGCAGGUGCCUGUAAUCCCAGCCACUUGGGGGGCUGAGGUGGGAGAAUCGCUUGAACCCGGGAGGCGGAGAUUGCAGUGAGCAGAGAUCGCGCCAUUGCACACCAGCCUGGGAGACAGAGCGAAACUCCAUCUCAAAACAACAACAACAACAACAACAAAGAAAAUUCUUCCACUGUGUAGAAAAUGCAUCAACAUUAUUCUAAGACUUUCUUCAGGAAAUCCCAGGCAUUUAAAGUCAGCCCUUUAAUACUAUGGUUCUUAUUAAAACCAGAGAUUAAUGUAUAACCAAAACUGAAAGCUUCAUAGGUUACAUUGUGUGAACAUAAAUGAAAUAAAAUUACUGUGAUAGAAAUAUGCUUUAGUUUCUCUCUACAAUUACAAAAACGGAAGUUGAAUGAGGAAUUUAAAAGAUAACAAUACACUUUUAUCUUGUAACAGUGUUAAUCACAGUGAAAUAUACUUUUCAGGAUAACAUUUUCAAAUGGAGCAAAUAUCGUUACAGAUUGAUGGCAUAGCCUUUAUUUGCCUUGUCAACAUUAAGGUAGGAAGACUUCUGAGAUACAAAUGUCAGACUGACAGUAGUGACUCAGAAGCAGAAAUUCAAAAAAUGCACUUGCUGUAAAUUCUGCUACACUGCCCAGGGCACUUCUUGGUCUGUAUGUGUAACAUGUAUUCAGCUAUUGUAAAGUUUCUUUAACAGUCCUGGAAGUACUAUGACAGUAACAAGGAAGAUUGAUAGCAGAUUCCAUGCCUCUUUGUUAAUCACAUUAAGAACUCUGCUUGGUACUCUUUGAUGUUGUGUCUGGAAACAUACAUCCCCACCACACCAUAUUGAAAACUUUCAUCCUAUUACCCAUCUGCUGCCAGCAAAUGAUCAGUUUAAAGGCAAAAAAUGGGUGAUGGGGGUGUGAAAGUCAAAGAUUUGCCAAGCAUACCGUUUUUCUACUACUCAUUCUUCUAAUUACCUUUUGGGAAAUGAGAGAACCUAACCAUAUAACAUUUUGAAAUGUUUCCUUAGGGAAUCUGAAUAAUAUUUUAUGUAGCUUGAGUUACAUGAUAAUGACAAGCAUGUCUUCAAACAUUAGAAUUAAACCCAUGGAUGUGGCAUAGUGCCUGUUGUUUUUCAUCAUAAGAGUUUAUGAUAAAACUGAGUACUGGAGUCUGCAGUUUAUAAAAAGAUGUUUCCUUCUAUUUAGCUGGAGGAGUUUCUUAUACUGGUGGAUUGGUUCCCAGCGCCUACAGUCAGAUAAAUAAAAAGUUGCAGCAGGGGGACCAACUAGUAGGGAGUACAUUUCAUCGGUUGGAGAGAGGAAAUUUAUUUCUUCAAUUACUUUAGAACAUCUGCAUGUUACAAAGAGGAAUGUGCAUUAACACAAUUAACCAUUUCUUUUUUUUAAUUGAAUUCAUGGAUUCAUUCCUAAGUUUUCUAAUCAGUUUUGCUCUGGUGUCAUAAGUUAAGGGAGAAUCAAUACCAAACUAAUUUUCCUGCAUAAAGAGAUUACUUGGAUAAUAGAUUUUUUCCAGUGCUUUUGGAAAUAUUGAGUCUAAUAAAAUAACUCUAACAGAGAUACAAUUAUUCAUAUCAGUAAGUUGUUCAUCAGAAAUAUUUCACAAAGACUAGACCUGAAUCUAAAUUGGAGGCAAAAUCAUUCAAUUCAAUAGAGCAGUUGCACUUUUCUCAUAUAGUAAAAUGACCAGUUGCACCUAGUAAACAGUACAGCACAACCCCUAAGUGCAGGGGAUCUGGAGGCAAAACAUGAGGGUCAAAGCCUCACUGUACCACUUUCCAGCUGUGUAAUCUUGGGAAAGAUUCUUCAUCUGUAAAAUGAUGCUUAAAAGCUAUACCUGACUUUUAGGAUUGUUGUAAACAUUAAAUUUGUAAAUGAGAAUGAUCUUAUAACUGUACAUGUUAACCAUUGUUUAAACCUAUAUGAAUAAAAUUCUAGAUGAGUCA